Molecule: ribosomal RNA, 468 nt
Filed under: uncultured bacterium
Lineage: Bacteria
Description: partial 16S ribosomal RNA
Rfam family: Bacterial small subunit ribosomal RNA
Source: RNAcentral
GACGAACGCUGGCGGCGUGCUUAACACAUGCAAGUCGAACGGAAAGGCCCUGCUUUUGUGGGGUGCUCGAGUGGCGAACGGGUGAGUAACACGUGAGUAACCUGCCCUUGACUUUGGGAUAACUUCAGGAGACUGGGGCUAAUACCGGAUAGGAGCUCCUGCUGCAUGGUGGGGGUUGGAAAGUUUCGGCGGUUGGGGAUGGACUCGCGGCUUAUCAGCUUGUUGGUGGGGUAGUGGCUUACCAAGGCUUUGACGGGUAGCCGGCCUGAGAGGGUGACCGGCCACAUUGGGACUGAGAUACGGCCCAGACUCCUACGGGAGGCAGCAGUGGGGAAUAUUGCACAAUGGGCGGAAGCCUGAUGCAGCAACGCCGCGUGCGGGAUGACGGCCUUCGGGUUGUAAACCGCUUCCGCCUGUGACGAAGCGUGAGUGACGGUAAUGGGUAAAGAAGCACCGGCUAACUACGUG